GCCCGGGGACUACGAGCAUUAGCUUAAAACCCAAAGGACUUGGCGGUGCUUAAUAACCCCCUAGAGGAGCCUGUUCUAGAACCGAUAACCCUCGUUCAACCUCACCCUUCCUGGCCAACCCCGCCUAUAUACCGCCGUCGUCAGCUUACCCUGUGAAGGUCUCAUAGUAAGCACAAUUAGUAAAACCCAAAACGUCAGGUCGAGGUGUAGCAUAUGGAAGGGGAAGAAAUGGGCUACAUUUCCUGUUUUCAGGACAUUACGAAAAGCGUGAUGAAAUUUACGCUAGAAGGAGGAUUUAGUAGUAAGUGGGGAGCAGAGUGCCCCCCUGAAACCGGCCCUUAAGCGCGCACACACCGCCCGUCCACUCUC
Molecule: ribosomal RNA, 369 nt
Filed under: Microlipophrys bauchotae
Lineage: Eukaryota; Metazoa; Chordata; Actinopteri; Blenniiformes; Blenniidae
Description: partial 12S ribosomal RNA
Rfam family: Bacterial small subunit ribosomal RNA
Source: RNAcentral